UAGGUUUCCUGAAUACUGUUGCUGACU
This 27-nucleotide non-coding RNA is filed under the name Rattus norvegicus (Norway rat). Lineage: Eukaryota; Metazoa; Chordata; Mammalia; Rodentia; Muridae. The record is from RNAcentral.